CUCCUAUGGGACGGUGGACACGGGCUAGUGAGGGGGGCAGAGAGCCCUGGGGCUCCCUGGGACUGAGGAGGCAGAAUGGAGGGGCCCUAACUCCUCUCUGUUCUCCAGAGCGCAGAUGUUCUGUGUUUUACGGGGCACCAAGUAAGAGCAGACUCUUGGCCACCUUGUGUUCUGCUGAAGUCUGCCAGUGUGCUGAGGGGAAGUGCCCUCGCCAGCGUCGCGCCCUGGAGCGGGGUCUGCAGGACGAGGAUGGCUACAGGAUGAAGUUUGCCUGCUACUACCCCCGUGUGGAGUACG
This 297-nucleotide small RNA is filed under the name Pongo abelii (Sumatran orangutan). Its description in RNAcentral is "retained intron". Lineage: Eukaryota; Metazoa; Chordata; Mammalia; Primates; Hominidae. The record is from RNAcentral.